RNAcentral lists this unclassified non-coding RNA (145 nucleotides) under soil metagenome. RNAcentral describes it as "partial internal transcribed spacer 1". The record is from RNAcentral.
UAAUAAGUGUUUUAUGGCACUUUUUAAAUCCAUAUCCACCUUGUGUGCAAUGUCAGUCGAUCUUCUUCAUGGAGAUCGACCAAACAUCAACCUUUAUUUUCUAACUCUUUGUCUGAAAAAUAUUAUGAAUAAACAAUUCAAAAUA